AAGGCAUGGUUAGGGCACUUUCUAAGAAUAUGCUUGAAUCUCUCCUAGAUCUCAUAAAUAGAUUCUCCUUCUAAGUAAGUAAAAGAAGUAAUGUCAUUUCUAAAGCU
Molecule: small nucleolar RNA, 107 nt
Organism: Dendrobium catenatum
Lineage: Eukaryota; Viridiplantae; Streptophyta; Magnoliopsida; Asparagales; Orchidaceae
Source: RefSeq, a predicted model, not a curated record